RNAcentral lists this ribosomal RNA (497 nucleotides) under uncultured bacterium. RNAcentral describes it as "partial 16S ribosomal RNA". It matches the Rfam family "Bacterial small subunit ribosomal RNA", at positions 29 to 523 of the family's 1533-position model. The record is from RNAcentral.
AUUGAACGCUGGCGGAAUGCUUUACACAUGCAAGUCGAGCGGCAGCGCGGGGCAACCUGGCGGCGAGCGGCGAACGGGUGAGUAAUACAUCGGAACGUACCCAGUUGUGGGGAUAGCCCGGCGAAAGCCGGAUUAAUACCGCAUACGACCUGAGGGUGAAAGGGGGGGAUCGCAAGACCUCUCGCAGUUGGAGCGGCCGAUGGCGGAUUAGCUAGUUGGUGAGGUAAAGGCUCACCAAGGCGACGAUCCGUAGCGGGUCUGAGAGGACGACCCGCCACACUGGAACUGCGACACGGUCCAGACUCCUGCGGGAGGCAGCAGUGGGGAAUUUUGGACAAUGGGGGCAACCCUGAUCCAGCCAUUCCGCGUGAGUGAAGAAGGCCUUCGGGUUGUAAAGCUCUUUCGGCAGGAACGAAACGGUGGAAGCUAAUAUCUUUUACUAAUGACGGUACCUGAAGAAGAAGCACCGGCUAACUACGUGCCAGCAGCCGCCGCCG